AAGGAAAAGAGCCAGCACAGACAUUUCCUUUUUCACUCUGGCAAACAAAACUAAACCAAAGCAGUGAGGUGCUGCACUGCUCUGAGGAAGAGUGAAUGGUCCACCAAAGAAAGUUGGUCUUUUAAGCUGUGGUGCUCCACAUAUGAAAGGCCAUCCUCAGGGAGGCUUGCUUAGCACAGAAUUUGAUGACUUGUCAGCACCAAGUGAAAACCUUUUUAUUUGCCCAGGUCUUUCAACAUGAAACAAUCACCCAUGAAUCUCAGAAAAUGAACAUUUGAGGCAGAUAAGGGGCAGAUCAACCACCACCAAUCAACCACCCACUUAUCAUAUCACUUCAUAUCACUCCCCUUCGGUCUUAUCAGGGCUCAGCUCCUCCUCCACUGGAGCUGAGUCCCUACCCUUCGGCAGUCUUUUCUCUGUCUCUCCCCGGCUACCACCCAUCCUUGUCACCUUGGGCCCUUUCACCACUCCAUCCUCAGAGGUAAGGACAGCUGGCCUCAACAGACAUUUAAAAAAAAAAUGUAACGCUUUUCAGUGGAAACUGUCAGCCAUCAAAAUGAUGCACAUAUAUAUGUGAAACGCCUGUUGACU
Long non-coding RNA from Hemicordylus capensis (graceful crag lizard), 591 nucleotides. RefSeq lists it as uncharacterized. Lineage: Eukaryota; Metazoa; Chordata; Lepidosauria; Squamata; Cordylidae. The transcript has 3 exons. The record is from RefSeq and is a predicted model, not a curated record.